UUUAAGUUCUGUUUUAUUGAGAACCACAAAAGGUAAGAACUGAGAGAGUCCUCCCAGGUCAUCAGGUCCCAUCCCUUGGUCUAAGGAUGGCGAAACCAUUGUCACAGCCAGCAGCUGCCGUGUCCUGGGACUGUCUCAUGGGGCGAUGUGUCCUGAGCCCCAGCAGUGCCAGCCCAGGUCAGAAGGCUUCAUUCAGAAGGGGGGUGUCCCAGCCACUGUCUGCUGUCACUCACAGCACCUGGCUGAGCCCCCAUGGAGGAUGGAGACCCACAGAUACACACACACACACACACACACACAGAGACAUCUCCAAAUCUCUGACUCAGACUCACACACAGGCACACACAGACGCACGCUCAACACAGACACACGCAGGCCUUUAUUCUAUUACACAGAGUAGGGCUGGGGAGCAGGGACGGAGUGCGGCUCGGAGCAGUGGGAGUUUGGUGGCGUGUGUGGAGGGGACAUGACGCACUCAGCCCAGCAG
This 487-nucleotide non-coding RNA is filed under the name Pongo abelii (Sumatran orangutan). Lineage: Eukaryota; Metazoa; Chordata; Mammalia; Primates; Hominidae. The record is from RNAcentral.